This 649-nucleotide ribosomal RNA is filed under the name Pseudomonas putida. RNAcentral describes it as "bacterial SSU rRNA". It matches the Rfam family "Bacterial small subunit ribosomal RNA", at positions 50 to 694 of the family's 1533-position model. The record is from RNAcentral. Lineage: Bacteria; Pseudomonadati; Pseudomonadota; Gammaproteobacteria; Pseudomonadales; Pseudomonadaceae.
UACACAUGCAGUCGAGCGGAUGACGGGAGCUUGCUCCUUGAUUCAGCGGCGGACGGGUGAGUAAUGCCUAGGAAUCUGCCUGGUAGUGGGGGACAACGUUUCGAAAGGAACGCUAAUACCGCAUACGUCCUACGGGAGAAAGCAGGGGACCUUCGGGCCUUGCGCUAUCAGAUGAGCCUAGGUCGGAUUAGCUAGUUGGUGGGGUAAUGGCUCACCAAGGCGACGAUCCGUAACUGGUCUGAGAGGAUGAUCAGUCACACUGGAACUGAGACACGGUCCAGACUCCUACGGGAGGCAGCAGUGGGGAAUAUUGGACAAUGGGCGAAAGCCUGAUCCAGCCAUGCCGCGUGUGUGAAGAAGGUCUUCGGAUUGUAAAGCACUUUAAGUUGGGAGGAAGGGCAGUAAGUUAAUACCUUGCUGUUUUGACGUUACCGACAGAAUAAGCACCGGCUAACUCUGUGCCAGCAGCCGCGGUAAUACAGAGGGUGCAAGCGUUAAUCGGAAUUACUGGGCGUAAAGCGCGCGUAGGUGGUUCGUUAAGUUGGAUGUGAAAGCCCCGGGCUCAACCUGGGAACUGCAUCCAAAACUGGCGAGCUAGAGUACGGUAGAGGGUGGGUGGAAUUUCCUGUGUAGCGGUGAAAUGCGUAAU